RNAcentral lists this ribosomal RNA (468 nucleotides) under uncultured bacterium. RNAcentral describes it as "partial 16S ribosomal RNA". It matches the Rfam family "Bacterial small subunit ribosomal RNA", at positions 28 to 507 of the family's 1533-position model. The record is from RNAcentral.
GACGAACGCUGGCGGCGUGCUUAACACAUGCAAGUCGAACGGAAAGGCCCUGCUCUUGUGGGGUGCUCGAGUGGCGAACGGGUGAGUAACACGUGAGUAACCUGCCCUUGACUUUGGGAUAACUUCAGGAAACUGGGGCUAAUACCGGAUAGGAGCUCUUGCUGCAUGGUGGGGGUUGGAAAGUUUCGGCGGUUGGGGAUGGACUCGCGGCUUAUCGGCUUGUUGGUGGGGUAGUGGCUUACCAAGGCUUUGACGGGUAGCCGGCAUGAGAGGGGGACCGGCCACAUGAGGCCUGCGGUAGGCAGCAGAAGCCAAUGUGACGCAGCAGGCGAGAGUAUUGCGGAAUGGGGCGACGCCUGAGAUAGCGACGUCGGGUGCGGAAUGCCGGCCUACGGGUGGUGAACAACUUUCGACUGUGACGUGGAGUGAGUGACGGUAAUGAGUAAAAAAGCACCGGCUAACUACGUG